CCCCUUUCCAAGUCCCCUGAAAGUUUCUAUAUUAUUAAGUGCUGGGAAACCGGCUAUGGCGAUAAACGCUUUAUGGAAUAAGCGUUGCGGACCCGGGGGCAGUGCCCGGCGCCUCCACCAAUUCCUUCCCCCUCGGCCAAGGUUCCGACGAGGAUUUCAAAUGGGGGCGAAACAGGAUCGACGCGCGUGGUAAAGAUAGGGUUUUCGCCCGGCAUGGCACCACCGUUAUCGGGCCAACUUGAUAAAUGCCAAUGAUAACGAGGCAUUUGCUUUAGCCGCUUAAGGCUGAAACGGGGUUCGGGGGGCACCUGGCAACAGAAGCCCCCCACU
Molecule: transfer-messenger RNA, 330 nt
Filed under: Magnetovibrio sp.
Lineage: Bacteria; Pseudomonadati; Pseudomonadota; Alphaproteobacteria; Rhodospirillales; Magnetovibrionaceae
Rfam family: Alphaproteobacteria transfer-messenger RNA
About the family: Bacterial tmRNA, also known as 10Sa RNA or SsrA, is named for its dual tRNA and mRNA-like properties. Its role is to liberate the mRNA from a stalled ribosome. To accomplish this part of the tmRNA is used as a reading frame that ends in a translation stop signal.
Source: RNAcentral